Molecule: ribosomal RNA, 221 nt
Filed under: uncultured bacterium
Lineage: Bacteria
Description: partial 16S ribosomal RNA
Rfam family: Bacterial small subunit ribosomal RNA
Source: RNAcentral
AAUAAGUAACCUGGCCUUUCAGGGGAUAACUGUUGGAAACGAUAGCUAAGACCGCAUAGGUGUGAUAACCGCAUGGAGAUGACAUGAAAUAUGCUACGGCAUAGGUAGAGGAUGGACUUAUGGCGCAUUAGCUAGUUGGAGGGGUAACGGCCCACCAAGGCGACGAUGCGUAGCCGACCUGAGAGGGUGACCGGCCACACUGGGACUGAGACACGGCCCAG